UGAGGGCCAUAGAGUAAGUAUAUAUAGAGGAGAAACUGAGGUACUAAACUCUGAAACAGUAAUUUAGUUCCACCAACACCUUCCAGAGACCGCUCGCAUCGCUGAUUUUCUGUUUACCUCGAGAAAUAUUUACUUAACCUCUAAAAUUUUCAGUUGAUCCGUCGAACCUUAUUUUUGGUAAGAGAUUUAUUAUGUCGUAGUCAACUUUGAAAUCCAACAAAUAUUGUGUUCCUAACUGUGGAGAUAUGUAUAGUAAACGUCAUCGUUUUCGAAUGAAGAGAAGCAGCCAACAAUUUUCAAACUUUGGCUCGAAAAAGUUAGUUAUCCAUUGCUCAACUCUAAAACUCCUCAACAAAUUUGUAAGAAGUGAAAUUAGAUAAACCUUAAAGGAAUUUGGCAACUGCUAUCCCUGAAUUAUUUCUUCCUGGAUCUUCAAAUCAAGGGGAAGAUGGAGAAGUUCAUGACACUGAAGAAAUACAUCUCCAAAGUGAUGUUGAGAGGGAAGUAUCAACAGAGACUUUGAAGAAUUUUAAGCACCCUCAGAAAACUUCAAUAAUAUAUAGAAAAAGAUAUCGAGGACAACAAUUAAUUGACACUAGAGGCUGUGGGCACUGCAGAGCUGAUCAUUUUUAUGGAUAAGCUGUUUGAUAGCCUGACUAUGCAAUUGUGAAGGACACAUUAAAAAUUUGGCAUACUAGAAAUAUUUAAAAAAAUGUAAAAUUUUAAAUAGAUGAUUUUUUUAUAUGAA
Harmonia axyridis is the source of this 748-nucleotide long non-coding RNA. RefSeq lists it as uncharacterized. The record is from RefSeq and is a predicted model, not a curated record. Lineage: Eukaryota; Metazoa; Arthropoda; Insecta; Coleoptera; Coccinellidae. The transcript has 3 exons.